This 937-nucleotide ribosomal RNA is filed under the name uncultured bacterium. RNAcentral's name for it is "bacterial SSU rRNA". It matches the Rfam family "Bacterial small subunit ribosomal RNA", at positions 8 to 916 of the family's 1533-position model. The record is from RNAcentral.
AGAGUUUGAUCCUGGCUCAGAAUGAACGCUGGCGGCGUGCUUAACACAUGCAAGUCGCACGAGAACGCUUCAGCUUGCUGGAGCUAGUAAAGUGGCGCACGGGUGAGUAACGCGUGGGUAAUCUACCUCCGAAUUGGGGAUAACACUGCGAAAGCGGUGCUAAUACCGAAUGACAUCUCAGGGACCUCGGUCUCUAAGAUCAAAGGUGGCCUCUACAUGUAAGCUACUGUUUGGAGAUGAGCCCGCGUACCAUUAGCUAGUUGGUAGGGUAAUGGCCUACCAAGGCUUCGAUGGUUAGCUGGUCUGAGAGGAUGAUCAGCCACACUGGAACUGACACACGGUCCAGACUCCUACGGGAGGCAGCAGUGAGGAAUUUUGCGCAAUGGGGGAAACCCUGACGCAGCAACGCCGCGUGAGUGAUGAAGGCUUUCGGGUCGUAAAGCUCUGUCAAGUGGGAAGAAUAUGCCCUGUGAUAAUACCAUGGGGCACUGACGGUACCACUGAAGGAAGCACCGGCUAACUCCGUGCCAGCAGCCGCGGUAAUACGGGGGGUGCAAGCGUUAUUCGGAAUCAUUGGGCGUAAAGGGCGCGUAGGCGGCCCCUUAAGUCAGAUGUGAAAGCCCUCAGCUUAACUGAGGAAGUGCAUUUGAAACUAAGGGGCUUGAGUAUGGGAGAGGGAAGCGGAAUUCCUGGUGUAGCGGUGAAAUGCGUAGAUAUCAGGAGGAACACCGGUGGCGAAGGCGGCUUCCUGGACCAAUACUGACGCUGAGGCGCGAAGGCGUGGGGAGCAAACAGGAUUAGAUACCCUGGUAGUCCACGCAGUAAACUGUGAACACUAGGUGUAGCGGGUAUUGACCCCUGCUGUGCCGAAGCUAACGCAUUAAGUGUUCCGCCUGGGAAGUACGGUCGCAAGGCUAAAACUCAAAGGAAUUGACGG